GUGGGGAAUAUUCCGCAAUGGACGAAAGUCUGACGGAGCAACGCCGCGUGAGUGAUGAAGGUUUUCGGACUGUAAAGCUCUGUUGUUUAGGACGAAAGUGCCUGUUGCGAAUAGUUACAGGUAUUGACGGUACUGAACGAGGAAGCCACGGCUAACUACGUGCCAGCAGCCGCGGUAAUACGUAGGUGGCAAGCGUUGUCCGGAAUUAUUGGGCGUAAAGAGCAUGUAGGCGGGAAUCUAAGUCUGUUGUGAAAAUGCGGGGCUCAACCCCGUAUUGCGAUGGAAACUGGGUUUCUUGAGUGCAGGAGAGGAAAGGGGAAUUCCCAGUGUAGCGGUGAAAUGCGUAGAUAUUGGGAGGAACACCAGUGGCGAAGGCGCCUUUCUGGACUGUGUCUGACGCUGAGAUGCGAAAGCCAGGGUAGCGAACGGGAUUAGAAACCCGGGUAGUCC
This 450-nucleotide ribosomal RNA is filed under the name uncultured bacterium. RNAcentral's name for it is "partial 16S ribosomal RNA". It matches the Rfam family "Bacterial small subunit ribosomal RNA", at positions 354 to 796 of the family's 1533-position model. The record is from RNAcentral.